Molecule: ribosomal RNA, 251 nt
Filed under: uncultured prokaryote
Description: partial 16S rRNA
Rfam family: Bacterial small subunit ribosomal RNA
Source: RNAcentral
ACAGAGGAUGCAAGCGUUAUCCGAAAUGAUUGGGCGUAAAGCGUCUGUAGGUGGUUUAAAAAGUACAUUGUUAAAUUUUAAGGCUUAACCUUAGCAAAGCAAGGUAAACUUUUAAACUAGAGUUUGGUAGAGGCAGAGGGAAUUUCCGGUGGAGCGGUGAAAUGCGGAGAGAUCGGGAGGAACACCAAAGGCGAAAGCACUUUGCUGGGCCAUUACUGACACUAAGAGACGAAAGCAAGGGGAGCAAAUGG